UCAAAAUGUAGCUAAGACAGAAAAGCAUCUCCCUUACACUGAGAAGUCAUCCGUGCAAAUCGGGUCAUUUUGAUC
Molecule: transfer RNA, 75 nt
Filed under: Trichogaster lalius (dwarf gourami)
Lineage: Eukaryota; Metazoa; Chordata; Actinopteri; Anabantiformes; Osphronemidae
Description: tRNA-Val
Rfam family: tRNA
About the family: Transfer RNA (tRNA) molecules are approximately 80 nucleotides in length. Their secondary structure includes four short double-helical elements and three loops (D, anti-codon, and T loops).
Source: RNAcentral